This is a long non-coding RNA of Pseudophryne corroboree (corroboree frog), 700 nucleotides long. RefSeq lists it as uncharacterized. The record is from RefSeq and is a predicted model, not a curated record. The transcript is spliced from 3 exons. Lineage: Eukaryota; Metazoa; Chordata; Amphibia; Anura; Myobatrachidae.
UAUGUUUCUAGCUUCAGUCGUUCCCAAGAGGACAGCGGGGGAGCCCAGGUAGGGGAUCAAGGUAAAUGGUCUAGGUCAUUACAGCAAUGUCGAGUAAGCUUGUGAGGCCUUAAAUUCGAGCCAAGGGGACCAAGUUGUCGUAAACCUUUGGUUCGUCUCCGGUGUCACCCGCAAUUCCUCCAUAGUCAUAUACCAAUCUACUCUGGCGACCCACUCCCUCACGGUAGGAGGAUUAGUCGAUCGCCAGUGAACCGGAAUGACCGCUUUGGCUGCGCUAUUGAGAAACUUUAAUAGAGAUUUUUUAUAUGUUGACAGGGGCCAUGAAGUACAGUUGAGAAGCCAGAAAGUAGGCUCCGAAGGAACCCCUGGAUCCACUAACAAUUUUGAAAUUUCUAUAACCUUGUCCCAGAAGAGACGAAGUUCGGGGCAGCUCCACCAGAUAUGCAUCGGGGAGCCCGGAUGGUUGUUACAUCUCCAACAUGCAUCUGGUGUCUCUCUUCUUUGUUUUUGCCUUCACAUUUUGAGUGCCAAAGUAGGCCAGAUUUCAUUUGAAUUUUCUCAAAAAGGGAUCCUUUAUUUUCGGAUCAGAUCCUGUCCCUGAAUGCUAAGUUCCCUGGGAACUACCAUGAUGCCCAUGUCAUUAGACAAUCAGGGAUAUGGCAAAGAUUAAGAAGAUGGAAGGCCAAGACAUGUGGCUAUU